Molecule: transfer RNA, 88 nt
Filed under: Gammaproteobacteria bacterium
Lineage: Bacteria; Pseudomonadati; Pseudomonadota; Gammaproteobacteria
Description: tRNA-Ser
Rfam family: tRNA
About the family: Transfer RNA (tRNA) molecules are approximately 80 nucleotides in length. Their secondary structure includes four short double-helical elements and three loops (D, anti-codon, and T loops).
Source: RNAcentral
GGUGAGGUGUCCGAGUGGUCGAAGGAGCACGCCUGGAAAGUGUGUAUGCGGGAACGUAUCGAGGGUUCGAAUCCCUCCCUCACCGCCA